AAUCAACGCUGGCGGCGUGCCUAACACAUGCAAGUCGAACGCGAAAGGGGAGCAAUCCCUGAGUAGAGUGGCAAACGGGUGAGUAACACGUGGGUGACCUGCCUUCGAGUGGGGGAUAAC
Molecule: ribosomal RNA, 120 nt
Filed under: uncultured bacterium
Lineage: Bacteria
Description: partial 16S ribosomal RNA
Rfam family: Bacterial small subunit ribosomal RNA
Source: RNAcentral